UAGGGCCUUUUACUACGUCAUUUUUUUGGGGCCAUUAACACUGUAUUCACUUUCCCAUUUCAUUUUGCCAGCCCUAACGCUCUCUCUCCUUCCAUCACAGCUCUCUCUCCUUCUAUCACCGGUCUCGCCCGAUCUUGUAAUCCGUUUUGUUUUCCAUCACAGCUCUCUCUCUCUUUCCAUCACUGUUCAUCACAGCUCUCUCCCCUUCCAUCAGUCAGCGUUCCAAAACUCGAAUUUUAAUUAGAAACCAACGCUUUAAAACUGGUAGCUUGGUUUAGAGAGACAAAGUCAUUGCUACUGCACACACAGAGAGAGAAAGAGUCAUCAUUGGGGGUUUUGAAAACCUCGUCUACACUAACAGAUCGGAGCAGAAUUUUUUUAGGAGUGGUUCAGUUUUUUGAAUAUCUUGCAACUGAGUGUCUUCCUUGCUUUGCCUGUUCUCUGUCUUUAAUCUCUCGGCUUUCUUUAAGCAGACCCUUCCUUCGCAUCUUCAAGAGCAUAAGUCAGGUAUGAUCGAGCGAGGGGAGUUGAAAUAGGAAAUAAGGACAUAAAGCUUGAAUACCUGGAAGAAGCAUUCACAACAUCCAACUGGAUAGUUUAGAUUUACUAAGUCAAACCACCAAAUAAUAGGUGGUGAUUAACAUAACCCCUCCUCCCUUUUAUGUAGGACAGAAGGAACAUGGUUGAUGAAUUUUGAGAGCUUCUUUAGUUUAAGAACUUUUAGAGAUAUACACAUUUUGCCAUUGAGUUGGUGUUUUUAACAUUCGAGGCUUAUAUUUAUUUGCUGGAAUCCUUUAUGUUGAAAAUUUUAUAUUGCCUCCUUGCCUAAUAUUUAUCAAGUCUUUUGAUCAAGUACGUAAAAGCCCAGAUCCUUGAUUGCUUGGGACGAUGUAAGUGACUGGCUUAGUAGAUCAUAAAGUCAAGAUUGGGCACUGGACCAUUUCCUCUAUGAAGGAGAGCUUCUUAAGAUGAAACUAGAUAACUAUUCUCGUAAACAAAUGAAUCUGUGUUUGGUCUCCAUGAUUUCCUUGUUAUGUAUUGGGUGUCUCAAUUUUAGUUUUCAUUUACUUAUUUUUUUGCUUAAGUUUUUAUUUUUAUUUUUUGUUCUUGAUGCUCUUGCUUUAUUUUUUAUUUUUUAUUUUAAAUCUGAUUUAUAUAACAUAUAUGCAAUUUCAGGGGCUGGAUUUCAAUUCAAAAGCAAGUAUUUGUUUGGGAAAGUAAAUAUUCAGAUCAAGCUUGUAGAGGGUGACUCUGUAGGGAUUGUCACUACUCUCUAUGUGAGUUUCAAUUUUCAACUAUUAUUUUUCAUGAAUAAUAUUAUAUUUAUACACACAAACAUAUACACGAACUGGGUUUAAUGCAAUUAUAGUUUUGGUACAUUAUGUCAUUCAAUGCAUUUAUUUAAGUGUUCAGUUGUAGAAAAUAGAAAACUUGACAUCGUUUAAAUUCAAGAACUGGGGUAGUCUUAGCUGGCUGUUCCUUUCAGCUCGUGAAUUGGAUUAAAUUCCAUUUAUUUUUCACAUUUAAAGCCUACCCACCUAGUAUUUUGUCCGUGAACCAUUCAUUUCUUCCAAAAAAAAAAAAAAAAGAUGAUGACCAGUUUUGCUUUACUCUUUUAUUUGAUCGGGUCAAAUCUAUUUCUUAUAAAAUUAGAAGAUUAUCACUCUCUAAUUUGCUUUAUGUUGAUUGGUAAUUGACUGUGACAUUGAUGAUGAUGAUGACCAGUUUUGCUUUACUCUUUUUUGAGCUAUUGAUGUUGAUAUUUUGUUUUUAGUUUUAAUGUGUGCAGAUGUCAUCAAACGGCUCAAAUCACAACGAGUUCGAUUUUGGCUCCCUAUUUUGUUUGUGGCUUCAGUAUUUUCUUUCAAGAAUAUUGCAAUAUCUUAAUUAGUUGAUAGAGCAAUUUAUAGUAGUGAUAAAAUAAUUAUGAUGAUUUCAGCAACUUUUUAUUAAAUGGCGUUUUUGAUCUCUCUCUCUCUCCUCUUGUUUGAAUUGGAUUCUUUGCAGGGCUCUGCAAAUCAUCUAAUGCCAAGGACUGACUCUUGUUUACUUCAGGACAACUUCAUUUACAUCCCCAUCUACAUUGACUUUAAUGUGUUUUAAGAACAUAAUGUGUUUUAAGUACUAUUUCUUUAAUUCGUUGCAUGUAUUUUGUUUGUAUUUUGUUCAGAAAUAUUAGAAAAAAGAAAGUUUGAAGUUUGAUGAGUUCUUUUGAAGAAACUUGUGGUUGUGUCCUUUAAUUCGUUGCAUGUAUUUUGUUUGUAUUUUGGUUUCCACAGAACAAGGGUCAUAACCAUAAAAAAGAUCCUUGUGCAGUUUUCAAUGUGUUAGAUUCAAUGCUGAAGGGUAGCUUGGAGCGGUUGAAAACAAUGAAUGAUGGGAUGAAUGGUUAUAUAGCACUUUGUGUUGGAGACCCUUGCCCUCUAAUUUUUAGGUCACCUGUUACAGGACUGGAAGAUAUUAUGGAUAAUCAAGUCAUUUGUGCUAUAUACAGAUUUCCAGAUGCUCAUAAACAUAUAGCUCGACCACCAGCCGGAGUUAUAUUCCCAAAUAAGGUAUUUAGGUGACUAUUUUUUACAUUUUGUCGGACCAUCUUCAGUAUUUUGUUUUUGUCUCAUCUUAUCUCGUCUGUUGUUCCUACUUCCUACAACCUUGUCAUUGAUGUAUACAUAUUUAAAAAUUUUCAACUCGUCUUACUACUGGUAAAUCUGGAUUCUGCAUUUUAUUCAUGCUCAUUUUUUGAACAUUAACCAUCUGAAGUUCCUUUUGAACAUGUUCUCUUUAUAUGGAGGUGUUGGGGACCUACUUCCUGAUAUUUGCUGGUUGUGCUACGGUGGUGGUGAAUUUGGAGAAGGACAAGGUGGUGACACUUCCGGGAAUAACAAUUGUUUGGGGACUGGCUGUGAUGGUCUUGUUUCAAGAAUGUUAUUACAUGGAGUCUCAUUUGACGCAAAUUCUCAUGAUUUGAGACAUUAUAUAUAUAUUUUCAUGGGCCUGUUUUUGAGACAUAGCUGCACUCUAUAUCAAAUUUCAUUAUUGCACCGUAAUUCAUUUUUAUUUUUUAUUUUUAUUUUUAACUUUGAUGUGGAUUGGGUUUAUCUCGUUAGUAAAUUUUGUUCAUGAAUGGACUUGAUGUUUGAUUACAGGUUUAACUUAUGUUAUAUUGGAUGGCAUUUAGUAGCCGUAAUCUAUUUUAACAAAAACAAUAAAGGGAAAAAAAAUAUAUAUAUUUAUAUAAAAUGACCUUUUACCAGCGCUUCUUUCUUUAAGAAGCGCUGGUAUAGGGGAAAACUUAAAAUGACGCUUAAGCAGCGUUUUUUGGUAAAUACUCUUUACCAGCACUUUUCCAGAAACCGCUGGCAUAUAGCAUUUACCAACGCUUUAUGAAAAAGCGCUGGUAAAAGGACUUUACCACUGGAAAAGCACUGGUAAAGGCCUAUUGACACUACAUUUACUAGCGCUUUUGAAUUACCAGCACUUUUUAGGACUUUUACUAGCACUUUUGAGCGCUGGUAAAAGCCAGAACUGUUGUAGUGCCGGGAAGGAGAUCCUCACCGGUGCUCUCAUUUAGAUCCGCGGGAUAAACCCUGAGAGAGGCAUCAUUUAGGAUAUUAUUUUUCGAACGAAUAACGUUCAAAUUAAGGGGGGCCAUUCUAAAAGAAAAAAGGAAUUUUUUUUUUAGUGUGUAAAAAAACCUUUUCCUCCAAAAAUAGAGCAGCAAAAGUAAGGAACUGACCUUGAGAAGGGAGUUUUGCAGAGUGUCCGAUCACAAAGCAAAAGUCAAAUCGCAAUAGGAAAAAUCGCCGGUGAAAACAAGGGAAGUUCGCUAGAAAAUACAGUAGAUGACAGAAGUAAUCGAAGGUAAUGACACUAGACGAAAAAGAAGAGAAAGGUUGAAGAAAGGCAAAAGAUAAGAAGUCAGGUUUUUAAAGCAAAACUGGUUCGACCUACACGAGGCUGUGUUGAAGAUGGUGCAGCAAAUCUCGAAGCAUUAAUCUCUGAGCCAACUAUUCAUUUCCCCACGUCAUCACUUCGAGCCGUCAUGUCAUGAUUAGGCCCUUUUGAUAAUCCAACUCUAAUUAAUUAGGGGGAGAUUAUGGGGGCAGAUGAGGAUAUCCAAAAUUACCUAGGCGGGGUACGAUCCAGAUGGUCACAAGCGGGUUAGAUAAGGACUACCAUUCUAAGUUGAACCUUAAUUAAUCAAGCCCAGGAUCAUUUCGGUUGAGGGAGAAGCCCGGUUUUUGCAAGGAAGUAGCUGAGCCCAAAGUAAAGAGAAGCCCAAAAGAACGGCCCAGCUCAGGAAGUUAGUUAGAAAAUAUCUAGAAAGUCUAUAACAGUCUAUAAAUAGAGGAAACAGGGGUUGAAAAAUUUUGAGGUGUGUAGAAUUACUCUUUUUGAUAUGAGAGGGAAAAUUUCUUACAUUUUCAAUAUUGCUCACACAUAUUCACAUCCCAUAUACAUCUUCAAGUGCAUUAUUCUCAUAAUAUUGUUGCAUACAUUCAAUUAUACAUUGUGAUUAUUGUAUUGACAUCAAGUAUUGAAGAUUGAAGCUUGGGAUUUGAAGAGAAAAUUUGGAGGUUGGGUUUGAAAGAAAAUCUAGAGGAUUGGUUAAGUUGUAUUGAAGAUCUUUGGGUGUUUGUAUUUGAAGACUCUGAAUUGAUCUUUGUGGCCUUAUAUGCUUGAUUUGUUGUUGAGAUUUGGGGGUUUUUGAAGAAUCAAUCAAACUUUCUCAAAGAACUUGUUCGGAGUGGAUGCCAAGUGUUCGACGAAAUUACUAAAUGAGUUUCAAGGCGUCAAACCAAAAUCUUUCGAACAUCAAAUGGCUCCAAAAUUGUCUCGAAAGGCCAAAGGAAAGGGUAUUGCAGUUCCUCCAUGCCCCAAGAGAGCAAGAACUACUAUUUCUAUCCGUGAACCACAAGAAACGGAAUGUGAAUUUGAAGAAGUUAAGAGACAGUUCGGGUCAGAAGCUUAUUGAGUACAUUAAGAAGAAUAGUUGGCUCUCCUUCACUAGGAUGAAACGUACCUACAGUCCGAAUAUGAUUCAGAAGCUAAAACUAGAUAUUGAGACAUGAGUGAAUGAGCUGGUAUCCUUGGGUAGACGUCAGAUCUCUUUCGCAUUCAAGUUUUUCUUUAAAUUCCUGAUGACUUUCUUUUGAACAGCGCAAUGCUCGAACUGGAUCAGAUUCUAAGGGCCAAUGAAAUCAGCUUCGCUAUUCUAGCUGCUUUACCAGCAUUUUUUCUCUCCCUUAUUUUGAUUAUGUUAGUGCGUGAUUGGCUUAAACAGGUAAUGAACCAUGGAGCUCUAAUUAUUUCUAUAGUGUAGUACUCUGAUUGAGCAUUUCAUAAAGUAGAUUAUGUAUUCCGCUCUCGAUUGUAUGUGCACGU
This is an RNA transcript of Cornus florida, 5385 nucleotides long. It is a transcript of the gene named aquaporin NIP2-1-like, with no coding region annotated. NCBI's taxonomy places the organism in Eukaryota, Viridiplantae, Streptophyta, Magnoliopsida, Cornales, Cornaceae. The record is from RefSeq and is a predicted model, not a curated record. The transcript is spliced from 6 exons.